Molecule: ribosomal RNA, 396 nt
Filed under: uncultured bacterium
Lineage: Bacteria
Description: partial 16S ribosomal RNA
Rfam family: Bacterial small subunit ribosomal RNA
Source: RNAcentral
AUACGUAGGGGGCGAGCGUUGUCCGGAAUGAUUGGGCGUAAAGGGCGCGUAGGCGGCGCGGUAAGUCUGGAGUGAAAGUCCUGCUUUCAAGGUGGGAAUUGCUUUGGAUACUGCCGCGCUUGAGUGCAGGAGAGGUUAUCGGAAUUCCCGGUGUAGCGGUGAAAUGCGUAGAGAUCGGGAGGAACACCAGUGGCGAAGGCGGGUAACUGGACUGCAACUGACGCUGAGGCGCGAAAGUGUGGGGAGCAAACAGGAUUAGAUACCCUGGUAGUCCACGCUGUAAACGAUGAAUACUAGGUGUGGGGGGACUGACCCCCUCCGUGCCGCAGUUAACACAAUAAGUAUUCCACCUGGGGAGUACGAUCGCAAGAUUGAAACUCAAAUGAAUUGACGGGG